AAAGUAGCUGGGAUGUCAAAUGGGUUAGGGGUGAAAACGGAACGGAUAUUAUUCGAAAAUAUUUGGAUCCAUAUAAAAAUAUUUGGAUAUGGUCGGAUAUGGAUAUGAAUAUGAUUUUAGAAAGUUAAGUUUUUCUGGAUAUUCGAAAGAAAAAAUAUAAAUGUGGAUAUUCGGACUUUUAGUAUUAUUUUUUUUAUAUUGUAUUUUUGGAUCUGUCCGGCCUAAUUUCGCCCUCCCGGUCUGCUCAAAUCCUUUUCUUCCAAUUUACGUGGUUGUGAUAUUACCACUUUUAUUUGCGAAUCCUCUAAUUCAUUACCAAUCAAGGUAAGGAAUGAUGUGGAAAAAUAAGAUGAAUUUUUAUAUUAUUCGUUUAUUUUAUAAUGAGUUAUAUGUUAAAAUUAUAUAUUUUACAUGUGGAGAAAUAUAGUUAGUAAACAAAGUAGGAAAAUAAAGUAAUUUUUGUGUAUGUGCAUAUUAAUGUGUAUUAUUAUUCAAAUACAUAUUUGAUCUAUAUUCGAAUCUGAAAAAAUAUCCAAUCAUAUUCGGAUAUGUUUUUAGCGGAUAUAAUUAUAAAAAUUUAGCAUUCGACACAUAUCCGUGUCUGAAUCCAUAUUUAAAAAAAUAUGUGGAUGCGGAUAUGGUGUCGUCAAAUAUUCGACCAUAUUCAAUCCAUUUUCACCCCUACAAUGGGUACAGAUAUCUAAAAUUUUAUCCGAAUUUGAAUUCGAACAAAACAAAUUCUUAUCGGAUGCUAAACUGUUAUAAUUUUAGAUAUGGGUAUAAAAAAUAAAAUUGGACUGAUUUGAAUUCGGAUAUGAAUUUUAUUCGUGUCCGAUCAGAAACCGAACCCGAUUUGAAUUCGAAUUGAUUUUAUAUUAUAUAAUAUAUAUGAGUAUUUGAUAUUAUAUUUAAACUUGUAUAGUUGUAUCCUUAAAAUUUAAAUUUUAAUAUUAUCAUAUUUUGAAAUAUGCCAAAGACAAAUAAUUAUUUUGGGUUUGGAUUUUCAGGUUUGUGUUCAUGCUUUGAAUAUUUGCCCAGAUUCGAAUUUGGAUAUGAAUUUUUAAAAUCCGUCCGGUUCACGUUCGGGUUCAGAGUACGGGUUCGGAUUUCACAAAAGUGGCUCAUUCCAUUUCCCAUUAAGUGCUCCCACAAUAGACUUCAAGUUACUUAUGUAUGCUGAAUCAAAACUCACAAAACGCUUCAGACAAAAAUAACGAAUCGUUCUUAGCGCAAGUGGUAAAAGACAUGAUGAUUGCUACCAGAGAUCUCAAGUUCGAAACUAGUUGUUUUGCAUUUUCAGUGCCUCAAUUACGCUAAAUAGAAACUCAUGAGCAAUUAGUAUGAUAUUUGAUUUUGACUUUGUCUGCAAUAACUUUUAGACAAAAAUAGCUAAUCAUUCAUAUAAAGCAAGUGACAAAGAGUCUGAUGGUUUCUUCAUUCGGUCGCAAAUUCGAAGUCUAGUUUUUUUUUUUUUCAGUAUGUUAAGCACGUUAAAUUGAAACUCAUAAACAGUUAAUAUGAUAUUUGAUUUUGACUGUCUGUAGUAACCUUCAAAGAAAAAUAACUAACUGUUCCUAGCACGAGUGACAAAAGAGUUGAUAGUUGCUACCUGUAUUCUCAAAUUUGAAAUCUAAUUGUUUCACACUUUCGGGGUCUUAGAUAUGCUAAAUUGAAACUCAUAAACAAUUAAUAUGAUAUUUAAUUUUGACUGUGUCUGCAGUAAUUUCAGACAAAAAUAGCUAAUCGUUUCUAGCGCAAGUAGCAAAGAAUUUACUACUUGCUAUCGGAGGUUUCAAAUUUGAAGUGAAAUAAACAAUCAAUUAAGCGAAAAUAACACAUAUAUUUAUAUGUUAGUGACUUAUCUAUACCUAUACAUUAUUCCUCUUAAAUUUGCCAUAUGGCCUUCAUUGUUUAGUGUGGACUCUAACUAGAACCAGCUCAGAUCCUCCAUAUGUUUUCUUCUUUUUUUGUUUGAAUCGAAUCGAAUCGAAUUUUUCUCUUUCUUUGCUUGAACUGAACUGAUUAUUGUUAAGUGUUAGUUUUUCCGAACCGACUCAAGUCUUCUAUAUAUUUUUCUCUUUCUUUAUUUGAAAUGAACCUAAUUUCUCUUUUUCUUUACUUGAAUCAAACUAGGUCAACCUCUUUUUUUGUUUGCUUGAACCGAAUCGGGCACACCUCUGCAUUGAGCCGAACUGUUGUUCUUUCUCUUCCUUCAGUUUCCUUCAUCGGCAAGAUGAAUCCCAUUCUUUAUCAUCGUUUCUUUUAUUAUCGUUUUCUCUUCCUUCAUCGUCAUUUUUUAUUUCUUUCUUUAAUUAUUUAUUCGUCGUAUCGCACGGAUUAGUAUACUCGUUAUUCAU
Molecule: long non-coding RNA, 2357 nt
Filed under: Ananas comosus (pineapple)
Lineage: Eukaryota; Viridiplantae; Streptophyta; Magnoliopsida; Poales; Bromeliaceae
Description: long non-coding RNA (ACOM_LNC002523)
Source: RNAcentral